UAGUAAUGGCAGGUCAGCAUACUGCCGUGAAUACGUUCCCGGGCCUUGUACACACCGCCCGUCACACCAUGAGAGUUGGAAAUACCCGAAGCCUGUGAGCUAACUUAAGGGAGGCAGCAGUCGAAGGUAGAGCCAAUGAUUGGGGUGAAGUCGUAACAAGGUAAC
Molecule: ribosomal RNA, 165 nt
Filed under: uncultured bacterium
Lineage: Bacteria
Description: partial 16S ribosomal RNA
Rfam family: Bacterial small subunit ribosomal RNA
Source: RNAcentral